AUCUCCCACUUGUUUUCUAUAAAGGUCAUUGAAUCUUUGAAUCCCAAGAGUUGGCGCCAAUACAUAAAUUAUUCAUCUGACCGAGGAGAAGACAUGAUCUGGGCAAGUUGAGAUUGAACUUGUUGAGAUUCUUCUUCCUCAACUAAAUCUGCCCAUUUAUUUAGAUUAGAAAUUAGAAUGGGUUCUGAGUUUUCUAUGAGAUAAGUUUGGGGAACUCCGAUCAUGGCGUAGUCUGAUGAUUUUUUUGUAUUUUGGUUGGCUUUGUCUAGUUGUGUCUUUUGAGGGUUGCUUGGAGGCAAUUGAAAUGGCUUGUUAUUCGGUUAGAACAUCUAUUUGGGACUAUUUGGGUACAACUUCAGUUAUAUCUUCAUUUCGCAGAAGAAGAGCAGGAAUUUGAGAAUCUGAAAGCUCUGUCUUCUUUUUCCUAGGCAUUUUAUCUUCCCUGCAAGAAUUAUCGGGUAAGAAAAUUUGGAAUAGAGUUUGAUCUCCCUUUGAUAUGAUUUAUAUCGAAUUUAAAAAUAGAUAAAAUAGCUUGCCAUCUAGCAAAUAUAUGUUUAGAAGUAAGAUUUUGCACAUCUUUUUGCAAAACAGAUCAGCUUUACAAUCAGUUCUUAACAAAAAAAAUUGAUUUAGUAAAUCGACUUGAAAUUUAGAAAUGCAUAAAACAGCUGCUACAAAAAUUAAUUAUAGGAUAAUUUUGUUGAGAAUUAUUCCGAUGCUUUGAUGCAAAUGCAUCAAUAUGCUCCUUGCCAUCUUUUUUCUCCUUUAAAAUACCACCAUAACUAAUGCAUGCAUCCGUUUUAACUAUUUGAAUGUAUAAGGAUCAGGGAGAGACAAGUAAGAAAGGUCUGUGACUUUCAAUUUUAUUUCUUUGAUAAUAUUGGUGUGGACAGAAGUCCACGGAGGUGAAGGUUUUUUCAACCUAUCAUGGAGAGGUUUUAGAAAAUUUCUAAGAUUUGGAAUGAAAUUUGACACAUAUUAGUACAUCCUAAAAAUUUUGAAGAAGGGUUUUAUCUAAGAUUUGGUCAGAAAAUUUAUUGGCGAAUUGUAUGGACCUUUGAAUAGGGAAAAGGUUUCCUUGUUGGAUAUUGUAUCCAAGAAAUCAGAUGUGAUUUGGAAAAGACUGUAUUUAAAUUUUGAUAAAACUAAUCCAUCUUUUUAAUAACAUUAAAGAAAAUCUUUAGAUAUUUAAAAUGUUGAUCUAUGCUAGUAGAAAAUAUUAAAACGUCAUUAAUAUAAACAAUAAUAAAUUUUGAAAAAGGACUUAAAAUGUCAUUCAUUAUCUUUUGAGAUUCAGAAGGAGCAUUUUUUAAACCAAAUGACAUUACAUUAUAUUCAUAUUGUCCAAAUGGUACAAUAAAAGCAGUUUUAUACCGAUUCUUGGGAUCUAUUUGAAUUUGCCAAAAUUUUAAUUUUAAAUCAAAUUUUGAAAAGAUAGUUGCAGCAUAAAGCCGCUGAAGUAAAUUUUUUUUGUUUGGAAAAGGAUACCUAAUUCAGCAGAGUUAUUUAUUCAAAGGUUUAUCAUUGAUGACUUAUUGAGGGACACCUCGUUCAAUUUCUAAGUUAUUAUUAACGUAAAAGGCAGCACAACUCAAAGGGGAUUCGCUUGGAUAUAUGAUGCGUCUAUCAAGAAGGCCAUUGAUUUUUUUAUGACAAUGAGUGGUCAGCUCGUAAUUCAUCUGGAUAGGACGAGCUUUUUUGGGGAUGAUUUUGUCACGACCCAAAUCUCAAUAUAGGUUGUGAUGGCACCCAACAUCGCCGUUAGGCUAGCUAACGAUGAACUACUAACUUAAUUAUUUAUUUUAUUAUUUUUUAAAUCAUGAGUCUUAUUAGAUAGAGAGAUCAAUGCAUUAAAAAAAUCGUUGAUACAUACAAUAUAAUUACAAUAUAAAGUAAUAGUGUGUCAAUGUAAAGCAAACCAUAAAUAAAUUCUAGAAUACCCCAAAAUCGAGUGUCACAAGUGCAUGAGCAUCUACUAAGAAGUACAAUAACAAUACAACAUAUGUCUUGAAUAUAAGAUACACAAGAUAAAGUAAAUAAUUAUGAUGGAAACGUUGUGCUCGCCAUAAAGUCCCCUCAGCAUAAGUCUACAUGGAAUGCAGCUCACCAUAAAGUCCCCUCAAGAUCUAUAUGGAAUGCAGAUCACCAUAAAGUUCCCUCAGCAACUGCGCCUACGUGCCCAAAUGACCACCAAAUGAACCUGUAAGAUCCUGCACAUUUAGUGCAGAAGUGCAGCAUGAGUAUUUUUGUACGCUUACCCAGUAAGUAUCUAGCCUAGCCCCGAAGAGGUAGUUACGAGGAGUCGAUAUUGACACUUACUAGUGGUACAGUAAAUCAAAUAUAAUAAAGUAGACAAGUAUGAAACAUGGUAAGUAAACAAUGAGUACAAAUAUAGGCAAAUAAUACGAUCUACAGUUGAACAAUAAAAACAAAAGUCCUUAAUUAUCGGAUACCUCCUCAAAUGGAAUAUGUAAUGGUCAAUACCAAAUCAAAGGUCACAUCUCAAGUCAGGAAACUUACGAGUACGCAGACUCCUUAUCAGGUAUUUUACACGAUUCUGCCGAGGCAAGCGGCCCGAUCCCAUAUGAGUGUUUCAUAGAACUGCCAAGGCAAACGGCCCGAUCCCAUAAGAGUGUGAUAAAUAAUAUUGCCGAGGAGAACAAACCGAACCCAUAAGAAUAUGAUAUGAAAUACUGCCGAGGAGAACGACCCGAUCCCGUAAGAGUGUGUUACAAUAUCCUGUCGAGGCGAACGGGCCGAUCCCAUAAGAGUGUGAAGCUUUUACAGGUCUAUGAACCCACUCACAAAUAUACGUGUGAGUUAUGGAAUUCAAGAGAAACUUUCUGAUGAUUACGCACAACGCGGGAAAAAUCCAAAAGAAAAAUACAAUUCUUACAGCUAAUCAAGUAGCUCGUCAAAUAUCUAAAAUUGUGAGUCUAGUCUCAGGUCAUAAUGUGAAUUAAAGUAAUUAAACAGGCAAGAAUAACUCAAUUAGUACAAUUAAAGCGUAACGUGAAUCUAAGUCUACUCGGACAUAAUCAGGACCUCUAGCAUACGCACGAACACUCAUCACCUCAUACGUAUGUAGCUCCCAUAAUAUGUAGCAUGUAAUUAGUCUAACAUCUAUGGGGUAAAUUCCCCUGCACAAGAUUAGACAGCAGAGUUACCUCACUCUGAAGUUCCAUAAUCAGCUCCAAUGCCUCUUUAACAUCCCAAAUCGAUACCCAUCGAUCCGAAACUAGUCAAACAACGUGCAAACUAAUAAACAAAAUACUCCAAUAAUCAUAAUUUAACAAUUCACAACUCCGCUCGAAAAGUCAACAAAGUCAACCCCCGGGCCCAUGCGCCCGGAUUCCAUAAUAUUUUGAAGAUAAAAAUUACCCAUAACACCGCAAACUCAAAUAUAUAAUUUAUUCCUAAUUCCAUAUCAAAUUUUGUGGUCAAAAUCCGAAAAUACCAUUUUUAAUUUUCUUCCACAAAUUCUAUAAUUUCUAUCAAAUUUCAUGUUAAAAUCCAUAUAUAACCCAUGUAUUUAACUCGACACAAGUAAGAAUAACUUACCUUAUGAUAUAUGUCGAAAAUGAUCUUCAAGAAUCACCCCAAAUCGCCCCACAUGAGCUCCAAGAACUUAUAAGUGAAGGAAUGAGCUCAAAAUGCCGAAAUUAGAUCUUUAAUUCCACUGCCAUGCCUCCUUUUAGCGAUCGCAGUCAUUAGCCAUGCGAUCACGGUUAACAAAAGGUCCAGCAUCAUUUCCUUCAUCAUGAUCGCGAACAAAAUCUCGUGAUCGCGAUGUACAAAUUGUGUUUUCUUCUUCAUAGACACCCUUUACUAUAAUGAUCAUAACUAUUUGUACCAAAUUCCAAAUUACAAAUGGUUUGAUUAUAUGAAAACUAGAUUCAAAGGGCUACAACUUUUAUUUUGGGAUCAUCCCCAAAUUCCUUAUCGAUUGCAAGACAUAAGCUCCCGAAGUCGGACUACUAACAACAAAAAAUCCUUCUAUGCGAUCACGGCCUUCCCUCCGCAAUCGCGAUUCAUAAAGGCCUGGAAUACACUUUGCUCUUCGCGAUCGCGACCCAGACCACCGCAAUCGCGACCCAGACCACCACGAUCGCGAAGAGCACCCCUGGCAUCAAAUAACAGCAGUUCAAAAUAGUCUAAAAGUGGUCCCAAACCACCCCAAAACACACCUGAGGUCCGAGAAACCCCGUCCAAUCAUUCUAACAAGUUUAUACAUCCUAUGUAAACUUGUUCAAAGGCUCGAAACAUAAAUUACAACAUCGACCCAAGAAUUAAAGAUCAAGCUCAAUCUUUCUUAAACUCUCUUAACUUUCAAACCUUCAUCCUUCAACGAACGCGUCCAAAACACACUUAAACAUUUCGGAAUGAUGCCAAAUUUUGUGUACAAGUCACAAAUCACAAUACAAACCUGUUCCAAGGCUCGAAAUCCCAAACGGACAUCAAUAACACCAAAGUCCACUUCAACUCAAACUUAGGAAAUCCGAAAACUUCCAAAAUGCUAGCUUUCCACAAUAAGCGCCGAAAUGCUCCCGGACUAUCCGAUUCUUAACCCGAACAUACGCCCAAGUCCAAAAUCAUUAUACGAACCUAUUAGAAUCUUCAAAUCCCAAUUUCUAGGUCGUUUACUCAAAAGUCAAAUCUUGGCCAACUCUUUCAACUUAAAGCUUCCAGAUUGAGAAUUUUCUUUCCUAAUCAACUCCAAACUUCCCGAAUAUCAAAACCGACCACGCGUACAAGUCAUAAUACAUUAAGUGAAGCUACUCAAGGCUUCAAACUGCCGAACGACGUGGUAAAGUUCAAAAUGACCGGUCGAGACGUUACAUUCUCCCCCACUUUAACAUAAGUUUGUCCUCGAACGUGCCAAGAACCGUUCCGGAGUUGCCCCAAAGCACUAUUUAACACAUCAUGCACCUACCCAUGCCACCACAACCCCUAUGGGCAUAUUAGCUCGAGCCAGACUGAAGAUCCUUCCUUCUACCUUAGCCCACCCGCCUUAGAACCAAAUUCCAAUACCCGGAAUUCUCUACGAGACCUAAAUCUAGUAUACGAAUACCGUAUCAAUCUCAACUCGUUGUACCAAAUAUGAUCAUGCACCCAUGCUGAAACCACACAAUGAACCGCAUAAUUCGUAUGCCCAUAAUAACAUCCUCCAACCGUAGAAGCUGCAAACCCACUAACAUGAUGCCUAUAGUACACCUCAUAGCACAUAUAAGCCCUACUCCAAUCCUCGCAAUACUGCGACGAUGAAAGAGACGUAUAGAAUCUCAUAACCACCCCUAAAAUUAAAAAAUCCAUGGAAUUUCUCCGCUCAACGAGAGCCCUUGCUUCCUUCUGAACUGAAUAGUGAUAUUUUUCCUCUAAUAUACCUUAUAUAAAUCUAAUCGCACUAACUCCAGGUCCAACCAUCUCGUCUCACUCAGUACAAGCUACUCGACUGACAAGCCACAUCAAAAACCACCCACAAUCUCCUACGACAACAUCAAUGCACCAAUAAACUACAAAUCAAAUAUGACUUAUAAGGAAGAAUGAAUUGUGGCAAAGAACUACCAUCUCGCGUAACAAAUAAAAUGGCCAAAAAGAUGCUAUGAGCCUAUAUCAUAGAUGAGAAACAAGGCACACAAAAUAGGUAGAAGAAAUCGUACUCAACAUCUCACUGUUUCGGCGUGCAACCCGAUCCAUACAUGAUACCCAUGGCAGCGUGCCACCCGAUCCACACAUAACCAUGGGUAGGGAAAUACCCAUCAAGCCAUAAUGCUAAAACUCACGAAAUGCCCGAAUAUCGACCACGAGCAUGCCAAGUGCAUAAAUAUAACCUUGGAGAGACAGAUAGAGCCAUGCGCGACAAAACUCGAGCUCGACUAAGGUGCAAUAAACGACAAGCUACACAGGAUCACAACACACGUGUGAAUAAUCAAGUCGUCUCAAUACACACGUGGCAUAAAGGAGUAGCAUUUUAAAUAGACGAUGCCAGGAAUACCAUCCACUACGCCUGAAGACCCAUCCAUAAGCAAUGCCAUGCCGAAUAAGCAUAUCUGAUCUGGUAAAAAUAUACAUCCACAUUAGGCCUACCAAUGGACCUCAAGCCAAUUCUAAUCAUCUCCAAAUGGGUCUAUAACCUCCCAAAGAUCCAUAAUGGCCAUAUCCAUGACAUAUACGAUCAACCGUAAAAAUAGGAAUAAACCUCCACAGUCCAUAACUAGAGAAAUAGAGCGCCUCUCAGACAUAAACUCUCCCAUCAGCGACAGUACUAGAAUCUCCAUACCUAAUUUCAAUCUCUACCACAUAAAUGGCUAACACGUCACCCUUAUGCAAUCAUCCCAUUGGAGUCACUCCACAACCUCAUACCACUAACCGUACAAAUUCUGUAAUGCAAAUCAAGAAUCCACAAAUCAAUACACCAUGCCUCUUACACAGAACAUCGUUCUCAGGCAACACUAAGAUAGCGCCAAUGUACUCUGAGUAUCUGAAAUCCCCCCCCCCCCUCCCCACCCUUCCGAGCUCAUGACAUUCUUAUCAAAAUUGAACUGCAACCCUGAUCCCCAACUUCCAAUCUCCAUAAUGCUCACUGCACAUAUCAUAUUGCUACUCGAGAGUACAAGAAUUUCAUCAUAAUCUCCUAAACCAUUAGUAGAGUUAACACUUCAUCGGCUCAAAACCUUUCACUUAACUCAUCUCAGAAGAAGAAUCGCCACCCAUAACCAACUUAUCAUAACCACAAAAAAUGCAAACCUCAAGUCAUGGUCUACACCGCCAUAACUCUUCCGGGAUCCAUUCACACAUAACUAAACCAUCAAAAUCAAAUACCUCCAAAUCUAUCGAACCACAGUAGCUGUCAAGCUUGCACACACAGCCACGAACCACUAGUAUAGCCUUACCACACAGAAGAAACUGAUCAUUUCCACAACCUUGCCGAUUCAAACCAUUACUAACUAACUCUAUUACUCCCAAUUUACUCUUGACUUGCCUUUGAACUAAUAGUUCUAUUCAAACACAUAACAGACCCCAAACUACACUCAUCCCGAGUGACCCAAAUCAUAAAACCACAUCAUCUCAACCCAUCAUCCAUCGCAUACCAUCCUCAUGCCCUCAAUACUAUCUCCCAUUGAUACACCCGUUUGGAAGCCCUUCUGCAAAUUCGAAGUUGUUUCUCCCAUUUCUCUAACACUGCACCGUAGACCCCGAUGAUAACAUAGAAAUUCCUCAAGUAUUCUUCACACUCUGCUGCAAAACCUAGUCCUCAGCCACAUAACGAAUCCAAAAUCCUUAAACACCGCACUUUAAUUAUUGAACCCACUAGAACCAUUGUUGAGAGUCACCCACUUUGACCUGGUCCCGAAUAUAUGACCAAACUCUAGUACUCUUCUAGCACAUGAACACUUCCAAAGAAGCAACCGGAUGAAUUCUUUUCCUUGCACAUCACAUCCACAAGAAGCAUAAAUUUUGAGUCAUCCCCAACAUCUGCACAUGAAUCGAUAAGGUGAAAUGUAGCACAUAUACGCCAAAUUCCUUGCCCAAAAUACCCUUGGUGUUUUUUCUUCUCUUGGUCAUAACUAAUCCACCAAUCACUGAUGACCAGAAACUGCAUAGGCACACAACCACGUGACUCAAUCGUAGACGGUGGGCUCCCCUACUUAGCUUCACGCUACAAUCACAUAGAUUCAUACCCCACAAUGACUUCUUCUUCCCAGUUAUCAUGAUCCUGCACCGUUACUCGGCCAACUUCUCACGAGCUCUUGUUGCACCAAUCAUAACGCACCCCAAACCACCAUCGCACGUUCAACCUCCUAUGGUUCAUACCGUAUUCUUCAAGCGAACCAAGCUUGCAUCGCAAUACAUGCUUCCCAUGUUGAGAAAAAAGUAGAACUCUUCGUAGGAACCUCCUCAAAAUCACGCAACCACUAACCUGCUCGCAUGAGAUAGCCCACCUGUGUAACCUCAUAUCGACCUCCUCCAACAUCAUUGCUAUAGUUACAUCCAUCAUGAAAUCAAUUAAUCUCCCUGAGUCCAUACUGAUCCGCUAGUUGUAAGAAUCCCUUCAUUCAUUAACAUCACCCAAAGGCGACGAUAAUGGUCUGCCUGCAUUCGCAGGGAAAAGCAUCAUGCACCACAUCUGUAGCAUCUUCUUAACUCGUUGGUGCCCAACUGAUAAAAAUGCCUGAUAUCGCGUACGAAUAAGUAGGAAGGAACCGAAGGCAUAAGCUUCAACGAAAUCAAAUAGCACGAUGAGGAAUCAAGGAAAGGAAGCUCUCCCAACAACCAUGUAGCCUCUCUCUAUACCAAUCCGCAAAACUCUACUAGACAUGCUCAUGACUCAUUAGACCUAAGGGAACCUAGUGCUCUGGUACCAAGCUAUCACGACCCAAAUCUCAAUAUAGGUUGUGAUGGCGCCCAGCGUUGCUGUUAGGCAAGCCAACGGUGAACUACCAACUUAAUUAUUCAUUUUAUUAUUUUUGAAAUCAUGAAUCAUAUUAGAUAGAGAGAGAUCAAUGCAUUAAAAAAAUUGUAGAUACGUACAAUUUAAUUACAAUAUAAAGUAAUAGGGUGUCAAUGUAAAGCAAACCAUAAACAAAUUCUAAAACACCCCAAAACCCGAUGUCACAAGUGCAUGAGCAUCUACUAGGAAGUACAAUAAUAAUAAUAUAACAUCUACCUAGAAUACAAGAUAGAUAGGAUAAAGAAAAUAAUUAUGAUGGAAAUGUUGUGUGCUAUGAAUCAUAGCAUGGAAUGCAGCUCACCAUCAUGUCCCCUCAAAAUCUCACCUACGCGCCCAAAUGGCAACAAAAUAAACCUGUCAGAUCUUGCACCUUUAGUGCAGAAGUACAGCAUGAGCACGUAAAUCAACGCGUACCCAAAAAGAAUCUAGCCUAACCCCGAAGAGGUAGUGACGAGGGGCCGACAUUCGCACUUACUAGUGGUCCAGGAAAUCAAAUAUAAAAAGUAGACAAGUAUGAAACAUGGUAAGUAAACAGUAAGUACAGAUAUAAGCAAAUAAUAGAGUCUUCAGCUGAACAAUGAACACAAAAGUCAUCAAUUAACGGAUACCUCCUCAAAUGGAAUACGUAAUGGUCAAUACCAAAUCAAUGGUCACAUCUCAAGUCAGGAAACUCAUGAGUACGUGGACUCUUUAUCAAGUAUUUUGCACGAUUCUACCGAGGCGAGCGGCCCGAUCCCAUAAGAGUGUGAUACAUAAUUUUGCCGAGGUGAACACCCCAAACCCAUAAGAAUAUGAUAUGUGAUACUGCCAAGGCGAAUGGCCCGAUCCCAUAAGAGUGUGUUACAAUUUCCUGUCGAGGCGAACGGGCCGACCCCAUAAGAGUGUGAAGCUUUUACGGGUCUAUAACCCCACUCACGAAUAUAUGUGUGAGUUACGAAAUUCAAGAGAAACUUUUCGAUAAAUACGCACAACGCGGGAGGAAUCCAAAAGAGAAGUACAAUUCUUACGGCUAAUCAAGUAGCUCAUUAAAUAUCUAAAAUAGCGAGCCUAGUCUCGAGUCAUAAUGUGAAUUAAAGUAAUUAAAUAGGCAAGAGUAACUGAAUUAGUACGAUUAAAGCAUGGCGUGAAUCUAAUUCUACCCAGAAAGAAUAAGGAACUCUAGCAUACGCACGGACACUCGUCACUUCAUGUGUGCAUUGCUCCCAUAACAUGUAUCAUGUAAUAAGUAUAACACCUAUGGGGUAAAUUCCCCCUCACAAGGUUAAACAUGAGACUUAUCUCGGUCCGAAGUUCCAUAACCGGCUCCAACGUCUCUCUAACACCCCCAAAGCGAUACUCAUCGAUCCAAAACUAGUCAAACAACGUCCAAACCGAUAAAAAUAUACUUCAAUACUCAUAAUUUAACAAUUCAUAACAAUUCCAAACUACGCUCGAAAAGUCAACAAAGUCAACCCCCGGACCCACGUGCCCAAAUUCAAAACUUUUUUGAAGAUAAAGAUUACCCAUAAUACCACCAACUCAAACAUAUAAUUUAUUCCUAAUUCCAUGUCCAAUUUCAUGGUCAAAAUGCGAAAAUAGCAUUUUUAAGUUUUCUUCUAAAAAUUCCAUAAUUUCUAUCAAAUUCCAUGUUAAAAUUCAUAUAUAACCCAUGUAUUUAACUCCAAAAAAGUAAGAAUAACUUUCCUUAUGAUAUAUGGUGAAAAUGAUCUUCAAGAAUCACCUCAAAUCGCCCCACAUGAACUCCAAGAACUUAAAAGUGAAGAAAUGAGCUCAAAAUACCGAAAUUAGAUAUUUAAUACACCUACCAGGCCUCCUUCUUAGUGAUGGUAGUUAUUAGCCAUGAGAUUACGGUUAACAAAAGUUCCAACAUCAUUUCCUUCAUCGCAAUCGCGGCCAAAAUCCCGCAAUCACGAUGUACAAAUUAUGUUUUCUUCUUCACAGACACCCUUCAGUAUAAUGGUCAUAACUUUUAUACAAAAUUCCAAAUGACAAACGGUUUUAGUUUUUAAAAACUAGAUUCAAAAGGUUACAACUUUGGUUUUUAGAUCAUUCCCAAAUUUCUUAUAUAUUACAAGAUAAAAAGCUCCCCCAGCCAGACUACUGACAGUAGAAAAUCCUUCUACGUGAUUGCGGCCUUCCCUCCGUGAUCACGAUUCACAAAGCCCUAGAAUGCUCUUUGUUCUUUGUGAUCGCCACCCAGACCACCGCGAUCGCGAAGAGCACCCCUCAAACCGCCAAACAAUGCGCUAGAGCUCAAAAAAUGGGUUGGAUCAUUACAGAUUUUUUCAUCAAAGUCAGGUUCAUAAGGAAACCUAACAGUGUAUUUCUUGCGAUUCUGGAAGGCUAUAGGUAAAUCGGCACAAAGUUCUUCCUGAAUUUUGGUCUCUAAAGUUCUUGUUUUGAAUUGGAGAGAAUAAUCUUGAAGUUGUUGUUAUAACCUAUGGCAUGCUACUUCUUCCUUGAGAUUGAUCUGCGCUUCCUUACUUUUUGUGGUAGAUAAGAUCUUUGUAAUAAAAGGUUUAUCCAAGGAAAGAAGAGUUUUACUUCCUAUACAUUCGAUUAGAAUCCCUUUCUUUAUUAAAUAAAAGGCAUGAGGUCCUCGAUCAAGGGAGUACCCAAUAUAACUAGAUUAGUAAGGUCUUUUACUAAUAUAAAGGAACUUGAGACUUACAAACAUGAAUUUUUUAGAGAGGUUCUAACUUAACAUUGGAGAGUUUGAAGCUGACUCCUAGUUUUCCGCCAUUAGCAACUCUAAGGCCUUUUUUGAUUUUUUUCAAAUAAUUUGGUUGGAAUGAGUCUGUCUUGUAUGCAGUUGAGAUCUGCACCUAUAUCAAAUAAGGAAACGAUAUCUAAGGUAAAGUAUUUACUAAUAAUUAGGGUAACUCUCAUAUGCUAUUUUCGUAUGGAAAUACUGGAGAGGUGGUUGAUAAAAACUUCUUGGUCAACUUUCUUGGUUUUAGUUGUUUGGAUUCUUCACAUUUGGUAUGGAGCUUUUGGAGAAUAAGAUAAUUUAGCUCUUGUCUAGCCUUAAUUUUUUGAAUUUCUUCCUUGAGGAGUGUUAUCUCAGAUUGAAGAUCCUGGACAGCUAUCUCUUUAGGUUUUUGAUAUGUUCUACAUUUUUACUACCUGAGAAUGUUUGAUGAAAAUAUUUGAGGAAGUCGUGGAAGGCUUAUCUAGUGUUUCUUUAAAUUGUUCAAGAUAAUACCUCUUUUGAUCUGAAUCUUGGAGAUUGCUUAUAACUUUGAGAAGAAGAUCUUGUUCUUUAGAGAGAACAUUGAUUUCAGGUUGACUAUUUUGUUCUUCUUGUUCUGAUUGGGAAUAACAUGAAUCUAUGUUAUCGUCUUUGAAUUGAUGUUCAGGUUCAUCGUCAGCAAUAGAAGCAUCACUAUCUUCUAGCACGAGUUGUUCAAUCUGAUUGAGGAUAGACUCAUCUAAAUCGAUAUUUCUAACAUUUUUGAAAAUUUUGCAGUAUUUGACAAUAUAUCAUGGUCUUUGGCACUUAAAACAUUUGCCUUGGUUGUAACAUGGGAAAGUUGAUUCCUUAUAUUUGUUAGGAAAUGCUUUGGGUUUAUCAAAGGAAGGUUUCCUAAACUUGGAUGCGAAAUGUCUGCGUUUAGGUGUUGAAUAUACAGGUUAUGAGAUAUGUCUGGUUGUUCGUUGUUUGAGAGACUUAUUGACAUAGGCGGUAGUCCAAAUUAUUCGUAGAAGCUACCUAAAUCUCUAUGAGUUUGUACUCUAUCUUUGGCUAACUGUCUUAAGAACUUAUCUUGGCGACAGAUUUUGAGAGUAACCUGUUGGAUAAGUCUAGUAAGUUGGCCAUAUGAUAUUUGUUCAUAAGGAAUAAUACCACUAGUGUAUUAAUCUUGGAGUUCUUCUUUCACUAAAUCAUUGAGGGAUUUAGGUAUACUAUCUAGGAAUUUUUCUUUUCCAAUAUGAGAGGUUACCAUCUGGUCUUUCAUAGAUUCUGGUGAGAAAAUAAUCCUUAUACCACCUAAAAUCGGAAAGGGUUUUACAUUUGAGAUUGUUGAGUAUCUCAGAGGAUUUUUAUAAUAAGAUACCUGGACUUCCUAUGAAUGUCUUUAUAAUGGUGUAAAUAAGGGUAUUGGUAGAGUCAAGAAUGGGUUAGCCAUCUUUAAAGAUUGGUUCUCCUGUUGAAUCAACUCGGCCAGUUAGAAAGAUUUGUUGUUUAUCUUCUUCACUAAGAUAGGCAUACCACUAACCUUUGAGUUGACCUAUAAAUCUUGCUACUAAAACAUGGGUAGUAAGCUAGUUACAACAAUGAUAGGAAGUUUUAUACAUAGUGACUACAAUAGUCAUUUGUCAUAAUUUUGAUAAAAUAUUAUAUUCGAAACAACCAUCUAUGUUCCAUUCAUAGAUAUUAUUGGCAUUGUAAUUGUUCUGCAUGACAUUGGAUUUUUCUUCUAAAACUACAUCGAGAUGGAUAGCUCUAGAAUAAUAGAGUUUUUGGGGUUUAUGCUAGUUGAAAAAGUUUGCUCUAACAAGGGAAACUUCUAGAAAAGGAUUGUCAUGAAAUUGGUCGGUAUGGGAAUCCAUUUCUUUAUCAGCAUAAAUUACUCUAAGAACAUGUACUCCAGAGUCUUUUGAGGAGACAUCCCUGGUUCUUUUAGAGGGGGUUUCUGGAAUAAUCAAAGUUUUUUCGAUUUCUAGGAUCCUAUGAUGUAGAUGAGAGAGUUUAGAAGAAUCUAUAGAUUGGUACAUAUGGAGCUCCUUAGCAAAAAUUUUAGGAAUCUCAUAAGGUUUGAAUAGGGGGAUAGAAGAAGUAGAGGGUUCUACUAUUUUAGAACCACUAAAGUAGAUAAAAUUGGUAUUAAAAUCAAAUAGGCACCCAAAGUUUUUAAAUAUUUGUUUGAAUAAUUUUUUUUAGCAAAUAUACCACUAGGCAGGCUGCCUAGUGGCUAAUAUAUAAAUAAAAUUCCAAAAUGGGUCCAAAGCUUACAAGAUGUCCAAACCAAAAAAGAAGUUGCAUGAAGCUACUAGCUACUAAUAAGAUAGAAAAGCUAUAGUCUAAUGAACUAGCUAUUACAACAUUGUCCGGUGAAUGCUUCCUUCUCCUGUCAGUGUAUAUGAAUCCAAUUGCUAGUGGCAAAUACCAAGCAGCACCUAUCAAGCUCUCACCAGACGCCAGGGUGUGAGCACGUGAUUUUUGCCCAAAGCAAAUUAUUCCCAAAAAUUCAAACAAAAUAAUUUCUUUAUUAUUUUACAACUUUUUGUGAAUUUUGGUGUCAUUUUUCUGUUAAUUGUUGCAUUGUAUCUGUGCAUUUUAAUUCAUAUGAAAAAUACAAAAAUAUGCAUUUGCAUUUCUAUUUAGGAUUUAAUUUCUUAUUUUUAGUAUUAAUUAGGGGUUAAUUUGUUUUAGAACAAAAUAUGAAGAAAAUAACAAAAAUAGUUCAGGUUUGCAUUUUUAAAUUGUUUAAUUGUGAAUUCGUCCCGAAAUAGUUUUUAAAAUAAUUUUAGAAAUUAAUUAGUUUAAUUUUGAAAUAUAUUAGGACUUUUUUUUUGUUGCAAUUUUAUAAAAUCAGAAAAAUACAAAAUAUACAAGAUGAAAUACAAAAAUAGAUAAAAGAAACAAAUGAAAAGGAAAAAGAAAACAAAAAGAAAUAGAUAAAGGGCUACCCACGAUUUGGGCCAUGUCCAAUUGAUUUACCCAGGCCCAACAUCUUUUUUCUCUUUCUUUCCCCGACCCAGGCCCAAACCCCACCCGGUCCAAACGACCCAUCUCCAGAGACACCCAAACGACGUCGUUUCACAGCAAAUCAAUCCCAGCCCUUCAUUCUCCAUAAUCCAACGGUUCUGGUGCUUUCUUGUUAACUUGAUAAAUAUGUCCGAAAUAUUCCCAAACCCUAAAACAUAACUCAUCUUGCUCGUACCCCCCAUUACUUCGCCGGAAUCCCACCGCCGGCGAACACCACUUAUGUUAUCGACCACCAAAAUAACACCACGAGACCUCCUCUUCUCCCUCGUCAUGAAUCCACCACCCAUUUCAUUCAAAUCCAGCCCUAGCUCGUCGAAUCCUCGAUCAAAGAUUCUCCGGCCAAAACCCAAAGUAACCCAAUCACCACCAAAUUAACACCAUGUGACCGCCUGGGCCCCCUCUACCCAACCCGCAUAGCCAUGUCUCUCGAAUCUACCUGGAACAGCUCGAAUAUCAAAUCGAAGGUUUCCGACCAAAACCCUAAUGCAAAAUCUCCAUGAUUUCGGACCCUAACAACCCUAACCAGGCGUUUUCUUAUGAAAACACGUGGUUAAGGAUGUUACGGGUCAGAAAUUUCGGGGGAUUUGGAGAAACAACCACUGGCCGGAGCUCUUUGUUGUCAGUGAGUUCUUGUUUGUAUUUUCUUUUAUUUUCAAUUUCUUUUUCCUUUUCUGAUUUUCUGCAUGUGUGAAUUCCAUGGUCAAUGUAUAUUUUAAUUUGCGUUUUAAAUUUUUGUCAAUAUUGUUCUAGUCUUGUGUCCUGGUUUUUUUGUGAUUAAGUCUAGUUGUUUGUUUGAUUUUAAUAUGUUCAAAUUCCUGAUCUUAGUUUGAUUUUAGUUAAGACGUUGAUAAUUUGUUAAUUAGUUUUACUAAGUUUUGCGUGAAUUAAUUUCUGGUGUUCCUUUAGUUUAGGUUAAUUACUAAUUAGUUCAGUUUCAGUUUAAUUAAUCAUCAUGAUUUGUUGAAUUUGGUUAUAGUUGAUAGUUUAAUUUGGUCAUUAAUUCUGAGUUCAAUUGCUAGACUCAAUAAGAGUUUAAAUCGGGAUAGAUGGAGAGUUUAGGAAAAUGUUUGGUUAUAAAUGUACUUUUAGUUUAAGUUCAGGGGUAGUUUAGGCAUGGAAAAGGGCUAUUUUGUUAAAGAAUAGUAAUUUCAAAACCAAAAUAAGGGUAGUAUAGGUAUUCUAGAGGUAGAAGAACACCCUAGGGCCUUUUAGAAGGGGGCCUUGGUGUAAGUUUCAGUUUUUUAGAAGCAGUAACUUGAUUAACAAGUUAGGAAAUGAGGGUGUUAACUUGUGUAAUAAGUUAGAAAAUAGGGGACUAAUAGGCAAUUGAAAAUCUGAAGUUUCCCCUUAGUUUUGCCUAUAAAAGGCAGUCUUUAUUGCUUUGUUGAGGGAGGUUGGAACCCCAGAAAUUUCCCCCAAAACCCUCUCUGCAGAUCUGAGCCUAAAAUUUGAAUUUCAAAUCAAUGGAAGUUCAAAAAUCCUCUUCUAGAUUUUAGUUUUGAAAAAUCCAGUAGAAAAUAAAAAAAACAAUAGAAAAUUCGAAAAAAAAUAAUUGUUCCAUUGCUUUUCCCUGGGCUAUUUUGAACUCCAGCACUCAAUUCAAGCUCAAUUAGGAUCCAAAACUAUUUGAAGUACUUUGUUUCUAUUUGGUAUUUGAGGUCUGAAGGUAACUUGGGUCAGCUGGGCAUUAAGUCUGAUUAAAUCGAAUUGACUGUGGUGAUCUGUUAAGUGUGUGGAUAUGCUGGGUUCAUUUUCUGGUUAUUUGAUAUAGUUUUGGGUUAAUUUGUUGAUUCUGCUUGGUCUCCAAUCCAUUUUUGAACUGUUAAAUCCUUUCUGAGUUGUUGUACUCGUUUGUUGACUGCUGCCGGGUUAUCACUGGUUCCCUGGAACUGUUACUGUUGCUAACUUCUCUUUCUUCCUUUGGUAUUCUGAUUUCCAGGUACACGUUUUGAACUUGUUUCGAUGUCUCAUCCCCUGUUGACAACAUGAAAUAAAAUUGGAGCAAAUUCUCUGUUGUAGAUCUGUUAGCUUGUUAUGUUUUAGAUAGUUUGUCGUGAUUUGGUGGUUGUACACUGUUAUCAAAUUCGAAAUGCAUAACUGAACUGAAGCUGGUUAUGUAUUAAUGGGACUGUAAACUGUUAUGUCUUAGAUUCGUGUGAGUUUAUUUUUCGAGUUAAUUACUAGUUGUAGUUAGUCCCUUAUUAGCUGAUGCAUACACCUGUUAAGUACUAGUUGUAAUUAAUUUCAUAGGAUAAGUCCAUACUAGUUGUAAUUAAUUCCCUAUUAGCUGGUUCAUGUCCC
This 16466-nucleotide long non-coding RNA is filed under the name Nicotiana tabacum (common tobacco). Its description in RNAcentral is "long non-coding RNA (NTAB_LNC008330)". Lineage: Eukaryota; Viridiplantae; Streptophyta; Magnoliopsida; Solanales; Solanaceae. The record is from RNAcentral.